UUUCUCCCUCUCAGCUGCUGACCCCACAGUGCAGUGAGCCCAAUGCCCUGGGUGCUGCUUUGGGGAACCCCUCUUUGUUCCAGGGUGCUCAGGGACCCCCAGACCCACCCUGCAGUGCUGGAGAACAUGCUUAUGGAGCAGUUUUCCCUCUGCUCUUUUUUCAAAGAAAAUCUAUAUCAUUAUUACUAUUGAGAGGGUAUAAAAAAGAGAAACAAAGCUCUCUGGGGCAGUAUAAUUAUUGUGUGCUGCUUUGGGAUAAAUGCUCCCAUUUCAGUGCUGAGGGGAUGCCCUCAUCUCCCCUCAGCCUACAGUUGAGGAGCACUGGAGUUCAGCCAUCAAUGAAUGUGAGUCCUCAGCAAAAUCAACCCAGGGGUUUCUUCCAGCUUGGGAUAUUCUGUGAUUCUGUGCAAUGAGAGAUGCUCUGACAUGGGUCUGGGUUUGCCAGUGCUUCUCCCACCUUUAGCAUCCAUAAAACCACUCUGGGACAUUAUCCACCCAGCAUGUAAAUGCACCAUUGGAGUAGUCAAGGAAGGAGGGAAAACCAAAGCUGCCCAUUUCCCUGUUGGAAUGAAGUGGCUCCCAUCCAUGUAAAUACAUUUUGGUAGUGGCUGCAAUGGCCAUAGGGGAUGCUGGGGGGAUGGGAGAGACCCCAGACAGGUCUCUCCCCUGCCAGCUGCUUGCAGGAUCUCCCGAGGUGUCUGGACAGGUAAUUAGUGCCUGGGCCGCAGGAUCCCUCCAGUCAUCCCGCCCAGCACAUGCGAGGAGCGGCAGGGCUCGAUUUUUGAUGGCUGAUUUACCCCGAACAAAGACCCCAAACAGCACUGAGCGCCCGACUCAGGGAUGGAAACUUUAGAGCCAACGGGCUCCUUUCCCAUCAGUUAAAAAUAGUGUUAUUUUUUUCUAAGCUGAUAACAUUAUAAACAUUUUGCGAGACAGAGUUUUCUUGGGAGGCAGGGAAACCUGCGCGUUGGCUAUAAAAGAAACUUCUGUGGAUAAGGAAACGUUUCCUGUGAACUCACCUGUUGCCAGCCAAGGAGAAAUGUUUGGUGUUUUAUUUCAAUCAAGAAUUUGCUGCUAUCUGGUGCUUUAUCUAACCUCACUCUUUGGAAGAUUUGAUGUCACGCUUGGCAGAGCCCUCAGAUCCAUGCGGCUUUAUGGUGCUGCUCCGCUAAAACUCCUCAUGUGUUGGUGUACAGUUGAAAAUAAAGCCUGAAAUCCUCACAGAAUGGGCAAAUGUGGCCCAAAUCAGCCUUGAAUUUUUAAACAGGAGUUGAUAUAAGCACCUCUGUGCAACUCUCCCAGUGUCUGAGCUAUGCCAGGCAGUGCUAUUUGCUGCACAGGAGAGGUCUCUGCCACACAGCCCCUGGUUUUAUUGCGUGUUGUAUACUGGCACUUACUGUUUAACUUUACACAGAGACUGACAUUGAAAGGCAGCCUCAGCUUCUCAGAACCUGUAUAACACCAAUGGCUGCAUGGGCCAACAUCUGCAGCCAUUUCGGUCUUUAUGCCACCUCAUUUACAGAGGUCACCAUCAGGUGGAGUGGGAUACUGAAAUGUAUGCCCCUGCUUCAACCACAAUGGACUAUAUGUAUAUAUAUAUAUUUAAGUAAACCAGCAUUUUGCAAAUAGUGUUUUUUGGGGUUUUCUAUGAGGAGUGGGGAGGCAGUGCUUGGGGCUGCCCUUUGCCUCACAUGGUGGCAGGUUCCAAAGAAGAUGCAACAGUGAUCUCCAGGGAUCCCUCCCAACCUCUAUGACUCCAUAACAACAGCCAGCUGGGACACAGCCCCUGAUGUGAUCACAACCUGACCCACCCUGGCUGCCUGCUGUAGCACUGAAGUUGCCCACAAUCAAGCAGAAAAUGAACUUCUCGCUUGCCUGACCUUAUCUCACCUGCUUCCCAUUUUAUCCUCCUAUGGAUGCAACUUUCCCUGCAGGAGAAAGGUUAAAGUGUUGAAAAAGGAAAGCUGUUAAAAGAUGGCUACUGUGAAGCUACAACUUCAAUCCUUGUCUUCUCUGACUUUGCUUUAUAGACUGUGGUGGGUUUUGUUUUGUGCGGGUCUCCAAAUACAAUGAAGUUAAUUUGCACCAAUUUCAUUUUGUGUAUGCUUUGGGGUUUUUGUUGUUGGUUUUUU
Molecule: non-coding RNA, 2132 nt
Organism: Coturnix japonica (Japanese quail)
Lineage: Eukaryota; Metazoa; Chordata; Aves; Galliformes; Phasianidae
Source: RefSeq, a predicted model, not a curated record